AUCUGACUGACGAGUCCUAAAUAUGACGAAAUGUGCUUCCUAGAU
Molecule: non-coding RNA, 45 nt
Filed under: Schistosoma haematobium
Lineage: Eukaryota; Metazoa; Platyhelminthes; Trematoda; Strigeidida; Schistosomatidae
Source: RNAcentral